GGAACCUUCCAGUGAGACUCCACAACCUGCAGAGUUGCAUGGCACCUCUCAAGAGAAGGGGAUAUAAAGUGCUCCUAUCUGUCAGAAGCUGCAGCAUGUGCUGGCACAGAUUUCCCACCCUCUAGUCGUGGAUCCUCUUGUGCCAAAAUGAAAGCCUGGUGUCUUGUCACUUAUAGUUGUGACUCUGGUCAAAGACUUUCUCCAGCAUUGUGA
RNAcentral lists this long non-coding RNA (213 nucleotides) under Anas platyrhynchos platyrhynchos (common mallard). RNAcentral's name for it is "lncRNA (ENSAPLG00000028249.1)". The record is from RNAcentral. Lineage: Eukaryota; Metazoa; Chordata; Aves; Anseriformes; Anatidae.